GAUGAACGCUGGCGGCGUGCCUAAUACAUGCAAGUCGAGCGAACGGACGAGAAGCUUGCUUCUCUGAUGUUAGCGGCGGACGGGUGAGUAACACGUGGAUAACCUACCUAUAAGACUGGGAUAACUUCGGGAAACCGGAGCUAAUACCGGAUAAUAUUUUGAACCGCAUGGUUCAAAAGUGAAAGACGGCCUUGCUGUCACUUAUAGAUGGAUCCGCGCUGCAUUAGCUAGUUGGUAAGGUAACGGCUUACCAAGGCAACGAUGCAUAGCCGACCUGAGAGGGUGAUCGGCCACACUGGAACUGAGACACGGUCCAGACUCCUACGGGAGGCAGCAGUAGGGAAUCUUCCGCAAUGGGCGAAAGCCUGACGGAGCAACGCCGCGUGAGUGAUGAAGGUCUUCGGAUCGUAAAACUCUGUUAUUAGGGAAGAACAUAUGUGUAAGUACCUGUGCACAUCUUGACGGUACCUAAUCAGAAAGCCACGGCUAACUACGUG
This 497-nucleotide ribosomal RNA is filed under the name uncultured bacterium. RNAcentral's name for it is "partial 16S ribosomal RNA". It matches the Rfam family "Bacterial small subunit ribosomal RNA", at positions 28 to 507 of the family's 1533-position model. The record is from RNAcentral.